Molecule: ribosomal RNA, 346 nt
Filed under: uncultured bacterium
Lineage: Bacteria
Description: partial 16S ribosomal RNA
Rfam family: Bacterial small subunit ribosomal RNA
Source: RNAcentral
CCUACGGGUGGCAGCAGUGGGGAAGAGUGCACAAUGGGGGGAACCCUGAUGCAGCGACGCCGCGUGAGUGAAGAAGUAUUGCGGUAGGUAAAGCUCUAUCAGCAGGGAAGAAAAGGACGGUACCUGACUAAGAAGCCCCGGCUAACUACGUGCCAGCAGCCGCGGUAAUACGUAGGGGGCAAGCGUUAUCCGGAUUUACUGGGUGUACAGGGAGCGUAGCCGGUUAUGCAAGUCUGAAGUGAAAGCCCAAGGCUCAACCCUGGGACUGCUUUUGAAACUGUAAAACUGGAGUGCAGGAGCGGUAAGCGGAAUUCCUCUUGUAGCGGUGACCUGCUUAGAUAUUAGG